This 253-nucleotide ribosomal RNA is filed under the name uncultured bacterium. RNAcentral describes it as "partial 16S ribosomal RNA". It matches the Rfam family "Bacterial small subunit ribosomal RNA", at positions 524 to 776 of the family's 1533-position model. The record is from RNAcentral.
GACGAACCGUGCGAACGUUGUUCGGAAUCACUGGGCUUAAAGGGCGCGUAGGCGGCUUGCCAAGUCAGGGGUGAAAUCUUUCGGCUUAACCGGAAAAGUGCCUUUGAUACUGGCAGGCUAGAGCGAGGUAGGGGCAUGUGGAACUUCCGGUGGAGCGGUGAAAUGCGUUGAUAUCGGAAGGAACGCCGGUGGCGAAAGCGACGUGCUGGACCUUUUCUGACGCUGAGGCGCGAAAGCCAGGGGAGCAAACGGG